GUACACACCGCCCGUCAAGCCAUGGGAGCCCGGGGGGCGCCUGAAGUCCGGGACCGCGAGGACCGGCCUAGGGCGAAACUGGUAACUGGGGCUAAGUCGUAACAAGGUAGC
This 111-nucleotide ribosomal RNA is filed under the name uncultured bacterium. RNAcentral describes it as "partial 16S ribosomal RNA". It matches the Rfam family "Bacterial small subunit ribosomal RNA", at positions 1383 to 1500 of the family's 1533-position model. The record is from RNAcentral.